CCCAUUCUGUGGGCUAAACAGUAUGACAGACAACCCCCCCACCCCCAGUAUAUAGUGGGAGCCAGGCAUUAGGGUAGGAAGCGAGGUGCUAGGUAUGAGGAAGCCAACAGCCCCAGUCCUCUGCCUGACUUGUAGAUGGAGAGCAACUCUGGGCAGAGGUCUUGAAGGCUGGGGCUGUGUUGGACAGCAACCAUACAGUGGGUGUCCUGGCCAGCACCCAUCACCCUGAAGGUCCCUCAGAGGCCUGGAGAACCACUGUCCUGAUCUACACUAGUGAUGACACCCACAUACACCCUAACGACAGUAUCCCUGUUAUUCUUCAUCUGCGUGGAGUACCUCCUGGCUUGGGACCCAGUGGCUGAGGCACCGCGCCCAUUUCCUGCUAGGGGCCGCCUGACCCUGUACCGUAAACUUCCAGUGCCAUCUCUCAUGCUGGUUCAUUUAUGCGCACGCCCCUUGGAGCCACCAGGGCAGGUCAGCCGGCUCCGUGCACUGCCCCUGACACGUGGGCAGCUGGUUCUGGUCUGGUCGGAUGAGCAUGUGGGCUCCAAGUGCCUGUGGACAUAUGAGAUCCAGUUUUCCCAGAAGGGUGAAGUAUAUGCCCCAAUCAACAGGAGGCCGUCUACUUUUAACCUAUUUGUGUUCAGCCCCGACACAGCUGUGGUCUCUGGCUUCUACCGAGUGCGAGCAGUGGACUACUGGGCCCGGCCGGGCCCCUUCUCCGACCCUGUGACUUACCUGGAUACCCCUGCCUCCUGAAAACCACUGACUCCCAGAGACUGGUGAAAGGAGUCAGCCAGGAUGAGCUAGACUGCCAUCAACUAAGCAGCUGACUAGUAGCUUCUUUUGUUGUCCCCCUAUUUCCUUUAAGGUGUCUUUCUCUACCUCAGACUUGGGGUCAGCCUUUGUGGAUGAGCACUUUACUGGCCCACUUGGAGUGACCUUUGCCCACCUUCCUCCUGGGGAGAUGGCUCAGUGGGUAAAGUGCUUGCUGUGCAGGCACGAGGACUUGUGUUCAGAGAUCUAGCACUCAUGUAAAGUAGGGCAUGGCAAUAUAUGCCUAGUGCCCUAGUGUUGGUGGAAGGGACAGGGACAGGCCAGAGCUCACUGGCCAUCUAGUCUACCCGAAACUGCAAGUUCCGGGUUCAGUAAGAAACCCUGUUUUAGAAAAAUCAAGUAGAGAGCUUGGUGUACACGUGCGCACACACACGCACACAAACACACACAUGCACACACAUACAUCACACCAUGCACGCAGUCUGAAUUCUGUAAUUAAAAAAUAAAUGCAAACACGUCUUUCUGAAAUACAAUUGCAUAGAGUAAACAUUUCCAACAGGUCAAAUAAAUGACAGGGGAGGAUUUAAAUGAAACAAGACCAAAACACGGCAAGACAAACAUUAAAUCCUGCAGAUCCAUUCUCAGCACUGGGGCACAUGUUAUUGUGAUAUGAGCUCUAACGUGCUGGACAGUCUGUGUCUGUGGUGUGUCAUUUUCAGCCCCUCUGACCUUUCUCCUAGGCUGGUGUCUUAGGCGUUCUAUUGAUGUGAUAAAACAUGAUGAGCUUAAGCAGCUGGAGUAGAAAAGCAUUUAUUGUACUCUUAUUUCUACAUUAUAGUCUAUCAUCGAAGGAAGUCAGGCAGGAGCUUGGAGGCAGGAAGUCAUGUAGAGGCCAUGGCUGCUCACUCUCAAGGGCUCGCUCAGACUAUGUUCUUACACACUCCAGGAUCACCAACCAAAGGGCAGGCCCCACCCACAAUGGUCUGGACCCUCCCACAUCAACCUAAUUAAGAAAACAGGCUCACCCAUAGGUCAGUCCUGUUGGGGCAUUUUUCUCAACUGAGGUUCCUUCUUCCCAAAUGACUGUAGCUUGUCACAAAUUGAAAUAAAACCAUCCCAACCAUGCCACACAUU
This 1911-nucleotide long non-coding RNA is filed under the name Rattus norvegicus (Norway rat). Its description in RNAcentral is "long non-coding RNA NONRATT009672". Lineage: Eukaryota; Metazoa; Chordata; Mammalia; Rodentia; Muridae. The record is from RNAcentral.